Molecule: ribosomal RNA, 521 nt
Filed under: uncultured bacterium
Lineage: Bacteria
Description: bacterial SSU rRNA
Rfam family: Bacterial small subunit ribosomal RNA
Source: RNAcentral
GGCAGCAGUAGGGAAUCUUCCGCAAUGGACGAAAGUCUGACGGAGCAACGCCGCGUGAGCGAAGAAGGUCUUCGGAUUGUAAAGCUCUGUUGUUAGGGAAGAACAAGUACCGCAGUAACUGGCGGUACCUUGACGGUACCUAACGAGAAAGCCCCGGCUAACUACGUGCCAGCAGCCGCGGUAAUACGUAGGUGGCGAGCGUUGUCCGGAAUUAUUGGGCGUAAAGCGCGCGCAGGCGGUCCUUUAAGUCUGAUGUGAAAGCCCCCGGCUCAACCGUGGAGGGUCAUUGGAAACUGGGGGACUUGAGUGCAGAAGAGGGGAGCGGAAUUCCACGUGUAGCGGUGAAAUGCGUAGAGAUGUGGAGGAACACCAGUGGCGAAGGCGGCUCUCUGGUCUGUAACUGACGCUGAGGCGCGAAAGCGUGGGGAGCAAACAGGAUUAGAUACCCUGGUAGUCCACGCCGUAAACGAUGAGUGCUAAGUGUUAGAGGGGUUACACCCUUUAGUCCUGUAGCUAACGCA